GAUGAACGCUGGCAGUGUGCCUUAGACAUGCAAGUCGAACGAAGCACCUUAAAUUGAUCUUUCGAGUGAUUUUUUUGGACGCUUAGUGGCGAACGGGUGAGUAACACGUGGGUAUCUGCCCUCAAGUACGGCAUAACAGUUGGAAACGACUGCUAAUACCGUAUGUGCUCUUCGGAGUAAAGAUUUAUCGCUUGAGGAUGAGCCCGCGGCACAUCAGCUUGUUGGUGGGGUAAUGGCCUACCAAGGCGACGACGUGUAGCCGACCUGAGAGGGUGACCGGCCACAGGGGUACUGAGACACGGACCCCACUCCUACGGGAGGCAGCAGUUAGGAAUCUUCCACAAUGGGCGCAAGCCUGAUGGAGCGACACUGCAUGAAGGAUGAAGGUUCUAGGAUCGUAAACUUCUGAACUAGGGACGAUAAUGACGGUACCUAGGUAAUAGCACCGGCUAACUCUG
This 458-nucleotide ribosomal RNA is filed under the name uncultured Trueperaceae bacterium. RNAcentral describes it as "bacterial SSU rRNA". It matches the Rfam family "Bacterial small subunit ribosomal RNA", at positions 28 to 505 of the family's 1533-position model. Lineage: Bacteria; Thermotogati; Deinococcota; Deinococci; Trueperales; Trueperaceae. The record is from RNAcentral.